Molecule: ribosomal RNA, 535 nt
Filed under: uncultured fungus
Lineage: Eukaryota; Fungi
Description: eukaryotic LSU rRNA
Rfam family: 5.8S ribosomal RNA (bases 173-326)
Source: RNAcentral
AGGGAUCAUUAUAGAGUGUUACAACUCCCUAAACCCACUGUGAAUCUACCAUAAGUUGCUUCGGCGGGCUCGCCCCGGUGCCUCUGUGCCCGGACUCGGCGCCCGCCGGAGGCCCCAAACUCUCGGUUUUAUACUUGGCUUCUGAGUGGCGUAAAGCAAACAAAUAAAUCAAAACUUUCAACAACGGAUCUCUUGGUUCUGGCAUCGAUGAAGAACGCAGCGAAAUGCGAUAAGUAAUGUGAAUUGCAGAAUUCAGUGAAUCAUCGAAUCUUUGAACGCACAUUGCGCCCGCUGGUAUUCUAGCGGGCAUGCCUGUUCGAGCGUCAUUUCAACCCUCAAGCCCCCGGGCUUGGCGUUGGGGAUCGGCCGGGCCCUUCGGGGCGCCCCGGCCGCCCCCGAAAUCUAGUGGCGGUCUCGCUGUAGCUUCCUCUGCGUAGUAACUCACCUCGCUCUGGAAGUCGGCGCGGCCACGCCGUUAAACACCCCACUUCUCAAGGUUGACCUCGGAUCAGGUAGGAAUACCCGCUGAACUUAA